This is a transfer RNA of Oryctolagus cuniculus (rabbit), 72 nucleotides long. It matches the Rfam family "tRNA". From Rfam's summary of the family: Transfer RNA (tRNA) molecules are approximately 80 nucleotides in length. The record is from Rfam. Lineage: Eukaryota; Metazoa; Chordata; Mammalia; Lagomorpha; Leporidae.
GGAGCUGUGGCAUAGCUGGUAAAGCUGCCGCAUGUAGUGCCAGUAUCCCAGGUUCGAGUCCUGGCUGCUCCA